CACGGACCAAUCAGGGACUUUGUUUACAAAUUGGCUUGUGAAUUCCAAUAUGAGCUUCCGAACUUCGCAACGAAGUUCGGAACAUUUGUGAUCAAAGUUUUCGUGAAAUUGACUGUAAAAUCGUCCCCGGGGUGGGGCAUUUUUCACUCUCAGCUUGCCCAGGGGCCGUGCAUUAGUCUUCAAGUUGUGUCCCGGCACCUGGGCAUUUGCAC
Non-coding RNA from Paramuricea clavata, 212 nucleotides. The record is from the annotation of a GenBank genome assembly. Lineage: Eukaryota; Metazoa; Cnidaria; Anthozoa; Malacalcyonacea; Plexauridae.